Molecule: ribosomal RNA, 252 nt
Filed under: uncultured bacterium
Lineage: Bacteria
Description: partial 16S ribosomal RNA
Rfam family: Bacterial small subunit ribosomal RNA
Source: RNAcentral
UACGUAGGUGACCAGCGUUGUCCGGAUUUACUGGGCGUAAAGAGCGCGCAGGCGGUCGUUCAAGUCGAGUGUGAAAGCCCCCGGCUCAACUGGGGAGGGUCACUCGAUACUGAUCGACUGGAAGGCAGGAGAGGGAAGCGGAAUUCCCGGUGUAGUGGUGAAAUGCGUAGAUAUCGGGAGGAACACCAGUGGCGAAGGCGGCUUCCUGGCCUGUUCUUACGCUGAGGCGCGAAAGCUAGGGGAGCAAACGGG